RNAcentral lists this ribosomal RNA (395 nucleotides) under uncultured bacterium. Its description in RNAcentral is "bacterial SSU rRNA". It matches the Rfam family "Bacterial small subunit ribosomal RNA", at positions 28 to 424 of the family's 1533-position model. The record is from RNAcentral.
GACGAACGCUGGCGGCGUGCAUAAAACAUGCAAGUCGAACGGACUUCAGUCCGCAAGGACUGAAGUGAGUGGCGAACGGCUGAGUAACACGUAGGUGACCUGCCCCGAAGUUUGGGAUAACAACUCGAAAGAGUUGCUAAUACCGGAUGUGACCACCGAUUCAUUUCGGUGCUUAAAGUCGCAAGACGCUUUGGGAGGGGCCUGCGGCGGAUUAGCUAGUUGGUGUGGUAACGGCAUACCAAGGCUUCGAUCCGUAGCUGGUCUGAGAGGAUGAUCAGCCACACUGGGACUGAGACACGGCCCAGACUCCUACGGGAGGCAGCGGUGGGGAAUAUUGGACAAUGGGCGAAAGCCUGAUCCAGCCAUGCCGCGUGAGUGAUGAAGGCCUUAGGGUU